GACGAACGCUGGCGGCGUGCCUAAUACAUGCAAGUCGAACGAGAGCAACCGGUGCUUGCACUGGUCAAUCUAGUGGCGAACGGGUGAGUAACACGUGGGUAACCUGCCCAUCAGAGGGGGAUAACAUCCGGAAACGGAUGCUAAAACCGCAUAGGUCUUCGAACCGCAUGGUUGAAGAGGGAAAGAAGCGCAAGCCUCUGCUGAAUGAAGGAACCGCGGUGCCUUAGCUAGUUGGUGAGGUAACGGCUCACCAAGGCCGUGAUGCAUAGCCGACCUGAGAGGGUGAUCGGCCACAUUGGGACUGAGACACGGCCCAAACUCCUACGGGAGGCAGCAGUAGGGAAUCUUCCGCAAUGGACGCAAGUCUGACGGAGCAACGCCGCGUGAGUGAAGAAGGUUUUCGGAUCGUAAAACUCUGUUGUUAGAGAAGAACAAGUGCUAGAGUAACUGUUAGCGCCUUGACGGUAUCUAACCAGAAAGCCACGGCUAACUACGUG
Molecule: ribosomal RNA, 497 nt
Filed under: uncultured bacterium
Lineage: Bacteria
Description: partial 16S ribosomal RNA
Rfam family: Bacterial small subunit ribosomal RNA
Source: RNAcentral